RNAcentral lists this small RNA (1600 nucleotides) under Rattus norvegicus (Norway rat). RNAcentral's name for it is "uncharacterized LOC102550999". The record is from RNAcentral. Lineage: Eukaryota; Metazoa; Chordata; Mammalia; Rodentia; Muridae.
GAACAGAGCAGAAGGAGUCAGACAGGCUGGUUUCCAUGGCCUUGGGGCCGGUCACUUCCUUCUGUGAUUCCCAUGUUCCUCAUUUGAAGCGUGAAGAGAGUCCCCUUGGCCUUAAAAGGCACAUCUUCUCCGUUCAUUCAUUCAUUCACUCAUUCAUAGAAGAUGGCGUUUCCUAAGGAAUAGAUUGCUCUGUAUAGCGUCUAUCUUUGGGGGGGGGGCGUAAAAUGGGGUCAUUUGGUAGACAUAUUAUUUGCUCAGCAAACAUUUACUUGCCUAGCCCUCCCCACUUGGAGAGGGAUAGAAUUUCCUCACUCUGUUGAUAUUAGAUUUAGCCAUGUGACUUGCUGGAGACAGAAUACAGGCGGAAGCGGCAGCAGCCAGCUCCGGAGUCGCUGAGCCUCCCCUUUCCCACCUCUUGAGCAAUUGUCCUUGGCCAUGAGAAUACCAGAUAGCGGGAGUCCUUCAGCCGGACAAAGAAGGAGCAGACAAGGGAGACAGCUGUGUGUGACCCAAAGCUCGGAGGCCAGCCCGACCCAGCUAACCCACGGUGCUGAGAUUGAAUUUAGGGGCCUUGCACGUCUGGUCAAUCACUCCAGGACUGAUCUCCAUCCCUGUCUCUGGUUCUUGUAGUUCGCCGGUCUCACUGAGAAGCACAGUCUGCAGGGUCCCGAGUGGCCUUUCUGCCUCUGCCCUGUCCUCUCAGUGAUGGCAGCCUUGAAACUGUCUUCUGAGUUAUGGCAGCUACGCCCACAGGACUGGGUGACCCAGUGGGGCCUGGAGGUGGGGGACCACCACUGUCUGUCCUUGGUCUGAGAGGUGACCACAGCGGCUAAGAUGACCACAGGGGAAAUGGAGCAGGAUCCGAUCAUACAGAAGAGAUCUUCCGAGUCCACGGGAGUGAUGGGAGAUUGGAUUGUAUGAUGCUUGGAAAGUUCUUAGCAUACCGCUUGUGUUGGGGAAGUGCUUAUGGUGGACCAUUGUUAUUAUUGUCAGCACUGGUCAUUAUUACAAUAUCCAUCACUUUUGUAAUUAUUGUCGUUGUCAUUGUCAUCAUCAUCAUCUUCACUAGGCAUGGCCAGGUAAGGCAGAGGUGACUAGCUGCCCCUCCCCCCACCCUGGAAAUUUCAUACCUUCUCUUUCAUAAAGUAGGAAGAGCUGCCCCAGACAGGAACUACAUUUCCCAUACUCCCAUGCAUCUGUGUGGGACCACAUGACUAUUUCUCAUUAGUGGACUGUGAACAGAAACAUAGGCACGGGAGACUGAGUUGAGUCCACCUUCUCUCUUCUCCCCUCCACCACCCACUAUGGAGAAUCAGAGGACUCUGGGGCUCCAGUAGGGAGUCUAGUUGUUCUGACCUCCAUUACCACAGUCCAAUUCUGCUUUUUCUUGAAUAUCGUGUAAAAGGAAUCAUACAAAUCACUUGUUUUUUUCUACAUUCAUAUUUUACGUUUUUGUAACUUUGUAUUUGUUCUCUGCUUUGCUAUUGUGCUGUAUUGCACUCUAUUGUAACCUGUCCCUUCCGUGUUCUUAUUGUUGGGGGUUUGUACUGUGUCCAGUGUUUGACUAUUAUAAGUAAAGCCACAACGGGUUAUCUGUGUA